AGUAGAUAUUUAAAAUUCCCCUCUGGCCCCAGUACUGCUUUCCUCCAAUUUUUUGAUUAUUUGCCUCCACAGAUGUAGAGAGCAAUACUUACUUUAAGAGCUUAUAUUUAUGUAAAUAAAGAAUAAAGGAACAGGAGCUGGAGUAAAAUACAUGAACUCUGAGUUGGAGGAUGGAAGCCAAACAUUGAGUUCCUCAGGAGGCUCCACCUUGAGGCUGCAGCUCUGGCCCUUUAAGGCAUCUUCUAUGUUCUGUCCGCAGAGGUCAGAGUGUAAAUGUGUGGGUGACAAAGUUGUGAGGACAGCACUGGAGCUCAGAGCACGCAGUGUGGAAGCUAAGGGAACUGCAGAGGAGAAUGAGCUGGCCAAGUCAACGUGUGCUUCAGGAAUAGACCCAUGUAUUCACUCAAGAGAAAGGUCUGGCUGAUCGUUUGUGAUCCCAGCAUAGAAGAAAAUGUUGUGCGCCAGAAAAUUAAUUAACUAUAGUGCAGCAUUUAAUUCCUUGAUCAAGUCAAAAACAAGAAGAUAAAGAGAAAUAGAACUGAGCUUAACAUAAAAUGAAAGAAAUAACAAGAGAAACUAGCCAGGAAAACUGGGUGAUGUUCCACUAGUUUUAUAAGGCCUUGGUGAACUAAAUGAUACAGCAUUGAAUUCCAUUUCAAUAAAUACAUCAUGUCCAGAAUUAAGUGGGUUACCCUGAAUGUCUCUGCUGCUUUUUCAACUUUCUAAACCAAGACUGGUUAUGGAAAACACUAAGGAGAUGAAGUCCACUUCACUAGACUUUCUACAGGUGCCUUAUGAACAAAAGGUGUAUGCCAUCACCUUACUGGAGGAGGCUUUACUCCAGCUGAUGGCAUCCUCCCCCCAUCACUGAAAACAUUGAAGCAAUCAGAAGACAACCUCCAGAGGACCUCCCUUCCACAUUUGACAGUGUAUUUGUUCAUACCUCUGCCUUCCUGCCUGCUGUCAUUUCCAUCUACCCCCUGUAACGCUAGCAUCCCAUAUGGGUACUGGUUUGAGUCCCAGUUGCUCCACUUCUAUUCAAGCUUCCUGGAAAAGCUUGGGCCCCUGAACCUACAUGGGAUACCUGGAAGAAGCUCCUGACUCUGGUUUUGCAGCCAUUUGAAAAGUGAACCAGUAGAUGGAAGACCUCUCUCUCUCUCUCUCUCUCUCUCUCUCUCUCUCUUUCUCUCUCCCCCUCUCUCUCUGUAACUCUGCCUUUCUAAUAAAUAAAUGAAUCUUAAAAAAAACUUAAGUAGUAUCUGAAAGUUCCUUUGUGUUCUCCUGCAAGAUGAGGAAUAGAGAAGAGGGUUUGGAUUAGAUCAGGGUCAGUGACUUACCGUGACUUAAAAUAAAUUAUAUGCUCACCACAUGUGCUGCUCACUUGUGAAUUAUGAGGAGUGAUGAAGUUCUAGCAGGUUGAAUUUAAAAUCUCAAUUUGAUAUUUAAAUCACAGUGACUUGGUGACAUUUCUUUGCAUAGGUCUUGGGACCAACAGUGGGAGUCCUCAAUGUAUAACCUGGAGCAUAGAGGAGCAUACUGAAACAGAAAACAACACUUAAAAAUUAGAAGGGAUCAGCACUGUGGCAUCA
Oryctolagus cuniculus (rabbit) is the source of this 1589-nucleotide long non-coding RNA. RefSeq lists it as uncharacterized. The record is from RefSeq and is a predicted model, not a curated record. Lineage: Eukaryota; Metazoa; Chordata; Mammalia; Lagomorpha; Leporidae.